UACGUAGGGUGCAAGCGUUGUCCGGAAUUAUUGGGCGUAAAGAGCGUGUAGGCGGCCCGGUCAGUCCGCCGUGAAAGUCCAGGGCUCAACCCUGGAAUGCCGGUGGAUACUGCCGGGCUGGAGUCCGGAAGAGGCGAGUGGAAUUCCUGGUGUAGCGGUGAAAUGCGCAGAUAUCAGGAGGAACACCGAUGGCGAAGGCAGCUCGCUGGGACGGUACUGACGCUGAGACGCGAAAGCGUGGGGAGCAAACAGG
This 253-nucleotide ribosomal RNA is filed under the name uncultured bacterium. RNAcentral's name for it is "partial 16S ribosomal RNA". It matches the Rfam family "Bacterial small subunit ribosomal RNA", at positions 524 to 776 of the family's 1533-position model. The record is from RNAcentral.